This 465-nucleotide ribosomal RNA is filed under the name uncultured bacterium. RNAcentral's name for it is "partial 16S ribosomal RNA". It matches the Rfam family "Bacterial small subunit ribosomal RNA", at positions 28 to 507 of the family's 1533-position model. The record is from RNAcentral.
GACGAACGCUGGCGGCGUGCUUAACACAUGCAAGUCGAACGGUAAGGCCCCUUCGGGGGUACACGAGUGGCGAACGGGUGAGUAACACGUGAGCAACCUGCCCUUGACUCUGGAAUAACAGUUGGAAACAGCUGCUAAUACUGGAUAUUCAUCGUCUCCUUCCUGGGGGGUGGUGGAAAGCUCCGGCGGUCAGGGAUGGGCUCGCGGCCUAUCAGCUUGUUGGUGAGGUAAUGGCUCACCAAGGCUUCGACGGGUAGCCGGCCUGAGAGGGCGACCGGCCACACUGGGACUGAGAUACGGCCCAGACUCCCACGGGAGGCAGCAGUGGGGAAUAUUGCACAAUGGGCGCAAGCCUGAUGCAGCAACGCCGCGUGCGGGAUGACGGCCUUCGGGUUGUAAACCGCUUUCAGUAGGGACGAAGGGUGACUGACGGUACCUACAGAAGAAGGACCGGCUAACUACGUG